UUAGUGGCGAACGGGUGAGUAACGCGUAGGCAACCUGCCCUUUAGACGGGGACAACAUUCCGAAAGGAGUGCUAAUACCGGAUGUGAUCAUCGUGCCGCAUGGCAGGAUGAAGAAAGAUGGCCUCUACAAGUAAGCUAUCGCUAAAGGAUGGGCCUGCGUCUGAUUAGCUAGUUGGUAGUGUAACGGACUACCAAGGCGAUGAUCAGUAGCCGGUCUGAGAGGAUGAACGGCCACAUUGGGACUGAGACACGGCCCAAACUCC
Molecule: ribosomal RNA, 263 nt
Filed under: uncultured Phascolarctobacterium sp.
Lineage: Bacteria; Bacillati; Bacillota; Negativicutes; Acidaminococcales; Acidaminococcaceae
Description: partial 16S ribosomal RNA
Rfam family: Bacterial small subunit ribosomal RNA
Source: RNAcentral